GACAUGGGUGGCAAACGUUAUCCGGAAUUAUUGGGCGUAAAGGGUGCGUAGGUGGUUUAAUAAGUUAUUGGUGGGAAAACGGGGCUCAACCCCAUGGAAGCUAGUAAUACUAUUGAACUAGAGGAUCGGAGAGGUUAACGGAAUGGCUCGCGUAGGGGUAAAAUCCGUAAAUACGAGUUGGAACACCAAAAGGCGAAGGCAGUUAACUAUUCGAUUCCUGACAUUGAGGCACGAAAGCGUGGGGAGCAAGACGG
RNAcentral lists this ribosomal RNA (254 nucleotides) under uncultured bacterium. RNAcentral describes it as "partial 16S ribosomal RNA". It matches the Rfam family "Bacterial small subunit ribosomal RNA", at positions 524 to 776 of the family's 1533-position model. The record is from RNAcentral.